AGAGUUUGAUCAUGGCUCAGAAUCAACGCUGGCGGCGCGCUUAACACAUGCAAGUCGAACGAGAAAGGGGAGCAAUCCCUGAGUACAGUGGCGUCCGGGUGAGUAACACGUGGGUGAUCUACCCUUUGGUGGGGAAUAACCCUGGGAAACCGGGGAUAAUACCGCAUAACUCCGAGAGGAGAAAGCCGAAAGGCGCCGAAGGAGGAGCCCGCGGCCGAUUAGCUAGUUGGUAGGGUAACGGCCUACCAAGGCCAAGAUCGGUAGCCGGCCUGAGAGGGCACACGGCCACACUGGCACUGAAACACGGGCCAGACUCCUACGGGAGGCAGCAGUGGGGAAUCUUGCACAAUGGGGGAAACCCUGAUGCAGCGACGCCGCGUGAGCGAUGAAGCCCUUCGGGGUGUAAAGCUCUUUCGGCAGGAACGAUAAUGACGGUACCUGCAGAAGAAGCUGCGGCUAACUACGUGCCAGCAGCCGCGGUAAUACGUAGGCAGCAAGCGUUGUUCGGAGUUACUGGGCGUAAAGAGUAUGUAGGCGGUUGCGUAAGUUCGGUGUGAAAUCUCCCGGCUUAACUGGGAGGGUGCGCCGAAAACUGCGUGGCUUGAGUGCGGGAGAGGAGAGCGGAAUUCCUGGUGUAGCGGUGAAAUGCGUAGAUAUCAGGAGGAACACCGGCGGUGUAGACGGCUCUCUGGACCGUUACUGACGCUGA
This 709-nucleotide ribosomal RNA is filed under the name uncultured bacterium. RNAcentral's name for it is "bacterial SSU rRNA". It matches the Rfam family "Bacterial small subunit ribosomal RNA", at positions 8 to 749 of the family's 1533-position model. The record is from RNAcentral.